Molecule: long non-coding RNA, 2152 nt
Organism: Mangifera indica (mango)
Lineage: Eukaryota; Viridiplantae; Streptophyta; Magnoliopsida; Sapindales; Anacardiaceae
Exons: 2
Source: RefSeq, a predicted model, not a curated record
CCUUCCUUCAUUAUCAACAAUAAGAGAUUUUCUUUCUAACUAUCCAAAAUGCAGUCUAGAAGAUUAGGAAAAUCUUAGAAAUAAGUUUAAAUACCAACCCGGAAUGAUAUUAAAUUUGAAAAAACAAUCCCAAGCCAAUAAAUUUGAAAUCCCAAGCUCAGAGUACCAUAGUUACAUUCAAAGUUCAAAACGAUCCCCAAGCCAAAAAAGUCCGUCCGGCAACAUUAACACCUCACAACAAAAAAAAAAUCUGUGAUGAAGAUUGAAGACUGAAGAGAGUUAACAAUCGGAAGAGAAUGACAUUGAGUCAAGUUUGGGGAUUUCUGAAUCAAUGUAAAGAUGAUUGGCUGUGCGGGAAGAAAGAUUGAGAACGGAAGAAUGCAGUUCUACAGCUUCCUUGAUUCUUUUGUGUGCAAUACGGCGGUGGGAUAGAAUAGAAAUCAAAUUAGGGAUUAUGCUUGGUCAAAUCCGGUUCAACUGGUUUUGACGGAUUUAUUCGGUUUGACCGAACUAUAAAUCAAUUCAGUUUUUCAUGCAAACUAAAUUAAACAGUAAAUCGGUUUCUAAUUGAAUCUAUAUCACCCGUGUAUAUGUACUUCCAGUACUUUUCCCUUAUCAAAAUUUUAUGAACAUAUUCAGUGCCAUAUUUUCUUUUUCCGAUUUUACUAUCUAGGCUGGUGUGGUGACAACCACCGCAAAACUGGAACUAAAACUCCUAGCUUCUGUUCUGUUGCUUCUACGCUAGUUUCUGGGUAAUGAAUACGUUUGCAGAGUUGUGCUUGAUUUAUAGUCAAAGAAGAACCGCCGAAAAGAGGGAAAAAUAAAGGCAAGUAGCUCUGCCUUCGGAUUCUUAGUUGCUCACCUGAGUAGUGAUAGUGUAAUGCCAGUUCUUUUCUGUUGCCAUUUGUGAUGUUAUUUCUCUGGGUUUUUGCUAUGCUGACAAAAUCCAAGUGAGCAAGUGUGUAAAUAAUGUUCUGCUGGCUUUUUGCAAUCAUUUUCAUUCUUCAAGCUGAAGUUCUGUUUAGUUACACGGGAAAGAGGUAAUUAAAUCUGUUGAAUCAUGAACUCGCUUCCGUAGUCGGAUCAAAAUGGAGGCAAUGCAUUUUAGUUCAUAUGGAAAUUCGCUACUUUUAUUUUUCCCUACACUUGACUGCGUCUGUAUUUAUCUAUAUCUUAUGUAUGCUUCUUUGUCAGCUUUCCUGUCUACUCUAUCUGUUAAUGCUGAUCAUAUGUUCAUUCCUUUUAUACAGAGUCAAAGCCAAGUGGGAAUACUGUUCCAUCCAAGCCAUCUAUAAAGCAUUACAAAAAGCUUUGUUUAAUUUGCUGUCUUUAACUUCUUCUUGUUCUGCAUGGAUGUUCUAAUGAUUCUUUUCUUCUUCUUCUUCUUCUUCUUUUUUUCUUUUUGUAUUGAGUCAAUAAUUCUUGACUGAACAUAUUGUGUAUGAAAUUUGUGUUAUCAUUAUAUAUCGACCAAAACACUGAUCAUAUUUACUUAUUUGGGCAGAAGUGUGAUCUAUUGUCAUAAUCACUUGCUUCCCUUGUAUUCAUGCGAAUUCACAAAUUUUGUUUCUAUUAAGAGGACAGGAUUCCUUCACAUCAGCAUUUGCCUUAUUAUUAUUAUUGUUGUGGUUGAUAUUAUUUUUGCUGAAAUUGGGAACCUGUUUUCUAGUCUAACUUUAGUCUUUCUUUGCUGUGCUAUUUUGCAUUAUCCUAAGAUCUUAUGUUUCAGAAGCUUCCUCCCUGGUUUAGCAUAGAUAUCCUGAAGUACGUUUUAUGGUGAGGUGCCGCAUUAAUAGUCAUUGAGCUGAGAUCGUAAUCUAUUUGGGAUUUUAAUGCAGAAGAAUGAUGAUUAUUCCCCACAUACCAUGUCUCAAGACUUUGUUGACAAGAAGAGAGCACACUUUGCUGAAAUUGAUGAGGGGAAUAGAUAGGAAAUAUAAUGUUUAUGCUGCAUUCAAGGCAUCCUAACUCGUCAAAUAGUAGUUGUAUGGUUAGAACAAUUUGAUAUAUGUUGUAAUAACUACUAUGCUAACCACAAUGUAAGUUCCUUAAAUCUUUUUGUCGGAAGCGAUUGUAAAAAUCGGCCUUAUGUUUUUUUAAAGAUAGGGCUAAAUUGCCUUACAUAUUAAUUAAAAUUCAAUGAUUUGUUACA